Long non-coding RNA from Gadus morhua (Atlantic cod), 282 nucleotides. RefSeq lists it as uncharacterized. The record is from RefSeq and is a predicted model, not a curated record. The transcript is spliced from 5 exons. NCBI's taxonomy places the organism in Eukaryota, Metazoa, Chordata, Actinopteri, Gadiformes, Gadidae.
CCACCCCCCUGGACCCCGCCCUCAUCAGGACCAACGGGGACAAGAGUCACCUCCUUGUUUUCAUCCUCGUUGGUGUCGCUGUUGCUGCUGUUGUUGUUGCUGCUGCUGUUGUUGGAGUCUUUGUGUCCCAGAAGAGGAACGAUUCAGACAAGCGUCACAAACCAGUUGGUUCUUCUGACAGCUGCUCUGAGAACACUGAGGGGCAGAAUCCGGCUCCUGAGGCCCAACCUAUGACCGGAGAGACCCCAUCUACGUAGUUUCCUGGCCGUGACUGCCCUCUAG